This 180-nucleotide unclassified non-coding RNA is filed under the name soil metagenome. RNAcentral's name for it is "partial internal transcribed spacer 1". The record is from RNAcentral.
CAGAGUUGCAAAACUCCCCAAACCAUCGUGAACCUUUACCGCUAAACAGUUGCUUCGGCGGGUGGCCCGCGGGUGUGCGCAAGCCGCGCCCCCGGGGGCCGCCGAGCCCGCCGGAGGAAUCCAAAAAACCAUCGCUUUCAGUACCGGCCUCUCUGAGUUACUGUACUUUUAAUUAAGUCA